Non-coding RNA from Pan troglodytes (chimpanzee), 45 nucleotides. The record is from Rfam. NCBI's taxonomy places the organism in Eukaryota, Metazoa, Chordata, Mammalia, Primates, Hominidae.
UAUAAGGUUUUUUUAAAAACCAUCCAUAGAGUUUUUGAAAAAUAA